AUGAAGCCGAGUCUUUUACAAAUGACUUCUGUCAUUCCUUCCCUGCUCCUGGGAUUCUGUGAGAGCCGUGGGGGCUGCAGCCUGUCUGCUGCACUCCUUGACCUUUGUGUUGUCCCACUUGUGUCUCAAGGGCUUCCUCCUCUGCAAGUGCAAAUAAGGGAAAAUCGUGUAAUUGGUGAGUUCAGCAUAUGAACGUGGUUCUGGGAUUUCUAGGGGAGUCAAUAGAAAGGAGAGGUGUAUUUUUAGCAUUUUAAAGUGCUGGUGCCUUGUCUGCUCAGAGAGAAGGGACAGAGCCACUGCAGCCUGGCUGCAAAGGGCAGGGCAGGUGGGAGAUGAGCUGGAAAGGACAAAGCAAGGGACUUUAUAGGACAAAUUGGGCAGAAUUAAUUCAGAAGAAGAUAUUGCCUGGGCAGUAGAAGCUGAAGAAAACUUUCUAAUGAAGCAUUCUUGUCAGAAAGACAAGGUUGUGAGUGAUACUGCAAAAUUAAUUUUCAUGGCUUUGAAGAAUAUAUUUGAGAAAACCUUUGCUAAAGGGAGACUGAGAUAUGAAGUAGAUUUUUUUUAAUGGCUGUAAAUAUCUUGUUCUCUUAUCAGAAUUUCUGAUUCACUUUAAAAACACUAAGAAUUUUUGGAGUCUUUUGUUCUGCUUAAAAACAUCCAAAAAGAGGGUGGUUAAAAAAAAAAAUCACUUGUCUGCAGGAUAAAGGGAGGAGGUUUAAACUGGUCUCCUGUGAGGAUAUCUGGAGUAAUGUUCCAGGCAGGUUUUACACCUGGUGUAAGCUACCACAGCUGCUUUUGCUGGCCCGGGGCAAAGCCAACAGCAGCUCUGUCCUCCCCCAGUGCUCAGCAGGGACUUCUUGGUGACCUGUGCCAGCCUGGAACUGUAAAUCGUUCAUGAGCAAAGUUGUUCCUGGUGUUUGCGCUCCGGGAUCAUGAAGAGGUCCCAGAAAACCUCUUCAUUCUUUUCCAGGCCCUUCAAACACUGAGCAAGGAGACCAAGAGAGGAUUUCAGUGUUGGUAACAUCUGUAACUUGCAGCUGGGCUGACCCCCACCAUCAGUCCUAAACAAGACUCUUAAAUUAACUGUGUGUAUUUUGGAAUUUAACAAAAUCCUGAGGUUUUCCCUCACCAUUUUUGACAAGAGCCUGAACACAGUAGCCCUGAAUUGUCUGGGUAAUGCUUUGCUUUGCUGAGCUUAAAAUAAAGUCACUGAUCGAGGGAAUUUUCACUCCCUGUUUGACCAAACCCUUCUUUCAUAGGCAGUAGAGAGAAAUCUUAAAGAUUUUCUUUUCUUCCACAGUUCUAAAAGGCCAGUUUGUAGAUAGAGUGCAAAUAUAGAUCAGAUGGAUAUUCUAAAGCCACAUGGCUCUUUUUGUAAGUUGUUCCUUUAAUGGCAACAGAAGAGCAAAUGUUCUCAUGAAGUAUUCACAGAAAGUGAAUUAUUCUGAAGGACAUUGUAUAUCUUAGGAAGUUGUGCACAAAAUGUAGAGUUUCUAAAUAAAAUAAUUGUCUGGGGUCCUUACACAACAUCAGAUAUUAGAAACCUGUGAUUGAUUCAUGGUAGUAGAAAUCAAGUUACUGCUAAUCUAAUUAUUGUCCUUGCUGUUACUUUAAGAUGACCACUUGCACAUUUAUUGUUGAUUUUUGUAACACCCCAUAGAAGCUGCUUGGUGCACUCUGGGAGAAUUUGGGAUAAACAGAUACCUGAAAUAUCUUGAAGCCUAGUGCUGGGAAAGGAAUGGAAAAUGGUUUCUUCUAUUUUUAUGUAGUUCUCCACAUCUUAAAGCAAAUACUCAGUGCAUGAAUGAUCAUAAUUGUUGUUGUGCAUUGGCAGUUGUCAGCUGGGAAUGCACAGCUGGAACAGCUGCAUGUGCAAGCCAGGACCAGCUCAGGUUACUGGGGAGUAGCCUGGGGGCUGAAGAGCAAGAUCAUGUCAUGUUAUGUUGAGGAGGAUUGAUGUACCAUAAUGUCAUUUUCUAAAAAUACAGGAUUGUAAAGCUCAAUGGUGGUGUUACUUUUUCCUCCUGAAAUGCUGUUAGCGGGGUAAAGUUGGAACUUCACUUUGCAAUUCACUAGAAUUUCUUUUCAUCAAUAAACUAUGAAGGGUUUGUAUCUGCUGCACAUGUGAACUUGCAAUUCUUGUCAGCAAUUUUACAUUGUGGUAUGCACAAGGAAUGGAUCAUUUAUGUCUUGGCAUACUUGAUGUUGCACUGCCCAGUGGAAGAAAACUGUCAUCCCUUUUCUUCAGAAAAUGGCACUUCUGUCUCUUCAGUGAAAUGUCCUUAAUUUUCAGGCACGGUAGUGGCUUCACUGUAGUGCUCUUAAGUUUGAAACUAUAUUUCUCUUGCCCUAUGUGAUGUCCUGAAAUUCCACAUCCUGAGUUCUGUUUUCUAUAUAAAGUAAGUGAGGAAAAAAGUGCAACCAAAAAUCCCUCUGUUUGAAAUUAAAGCCCCUGUAAAAAAACACUCUGAGGCUCGUGUUUGUUGUGGCUGGGUCACAGCUGCACUGGUGCUGCAUUGGUGCUGCACAGAGCCUGGAGAGCCACUGUGCCAUGGUUUGGGAAUGGGGAGGUAUCCCUGGCCCAAGUCCUCAAAUGAGCAAGUUGAGAAGUGGCAGGUGAUGAGUGAAAUUCAGUUUAUGUGUUUGGGAUUUUGAGAAGAUCAGCUUCACAGAACAGAGUAAUUGUGUUUCCACUGCUCAAAUCUGCUGAACUAUAAAAAUUGGUUGAUUAAUGGGUUGGGGUUUUUUACUGAAUAAAUGAAGACUAUUUUUAAAAUAACACAAGUGAGAGCCAGCUAGGAAUCUUGCACGUGGUGCUCCAGUGAGCACGCACCUGCACGCUUGCCGAGUGACUGUGUGCCUGUCACUCUGCCAUUUCCUGUGGCUUCAGUUCCUGUUCAAGAACUAAUUUCACAUUUGUACUUGAAGAGUAGAACUUCAAAACCUUUACUGAACUUCCACAUAGAUCUCUUUGCCUCCCAGUCCAGGCCUGAGCUUGUCCUGAAGCCUCUGCAGAGUGAAAAGUACAAAAGGGACGCAGGGUCUGUGAGCACAGAAAUGAGGUUGCUUUUCCUUGGAGUAAACUUGAACUUUGGAUCUUUCCUCCUGUGAUCUGUCAUUAGAAAAUGGCCUUUUCCAGAGAGGAAAACAAAAGAAGUUAAGAAAACAAAUGAAUUAAGAAGAAUUAAUUGAAGCUGUGUAUUACAAGUUGACAUUAUACAUCUGGCAUUUCUGUUUAUGUUUCUGCAUUGGUACAUUUCAUUCUGAUUUAAUAAGUUCCUAAUUUUGUGGGAUUUUUUUUCAAGAUUCUGAAGUGCCUAUGAAGAACAGCCCAUAGUAAAGUAUUGUUCCCAGUUUAGCUGUACUUCAUUUUUUUAAUCAAAUCUUUUUCUUUAGUGGAUAAACUCACAAGAUUAGAAAAGCCUCUUGAACUCCCUCAUGUUUAGUUUGGCAAAUGUCCCACACACAAUUACCCACAGAGAGCUACUUUUAAAAGACCGUUAUUGGGGCUGUACAAAGUCAAGCACUCAGGAGGUAGGAAAUGGCAGAACCAGGUUUGUGCUCCAUGAGUUUGGGGAGUACAUUGCAGUGUCUGAUCAUUUCAUGAUCAAAAAUUGAGCUGACACUGCUCAGAAAUUGUCCAAAACUGCCCAGCCUUAUGAGCCUGGACUUGGAGAACCCCAAUUUCUCUCAAGUUACAUAUAAAUAGGUUUUUAAAAGUUGAACUUCCAGCGUGGCACUGUGGUGUUGGGUGUAACCCGUGUGUGUGCUGGGGGAAUUCUUUGUGUUCUGUGUGUGGAUCCCCGUUCUUGACCUGAGCUCCUGGCGUGGUGGGGAGGAACUCGAAGCUGAAACAGCAAUUUCUGUUUCCACAUUUCACUGGGAGGCCACACACAAGUGUGAUUGGAGCCAGGAAUCUCUGCCUCGGUGAGAGCCCAG
Molecule: long non-coding RNA, 3939 nt
Filed under: Taeniopygia guttata (zebra finch)
Lineage: Eukaryota; Metazoa; Chordata; Aves; Passeriformes; Estrildidae
Description: lncRNA (ENSTGUG00000022935.1)
Source: RNAcentral